RNAcentral lists this non-coding RNA (389 nucleotides) under Stegodyphus mimosarum. RNAcentral's name for it is "eukaryotic small subunit ribosomal RNA". It matches the Rfam family "Eukaryotic small subunit ribosomal RNA", at positions 42 to 429 of the family's 1831-position model. Lineage: Eukaryota; Metazoa; Arthropoda; Arachnida; Araneae; Eresidae. The record is from Rfam by way of RNAcentral.
GAUUAAACCAUGCAUGUCUAAGUACAUGCCGUAUUAAGGGAAAACCGCGAAAGGCUUAUUGAAUCAGUUACAGGUCCUUGGAUUGCACCUUACUACUUGGAUAACUGUGACAAUUCUAGAGCUAAUACAUGCAGCAGAGCUUCGACCCUCUGAGGAUGAGCACUUCUGUUAGACCAAAAUCGGACUUGAUGCCUAUAUUAUGUGGUGAUCCUGUAUAACCUUGGGUUGAUCUCAUGGGCUCGUUCCGGAGACGUAUCUUUCAAGUUCUUAUGAACUGUCGAUGGUAGGUUACGCGCCCUACCAUGGUCGUAACGGGUGACGAUGAAUCAGAGUUCGAUUCCGGAGAGGGAACUUGAGAAACGGCUACCACAUUCAAGAAAGGCAGACUC